UAGGGAAUUUUGCGCAAUGGGCGAAAGCCUGACGCAGCGACGCCGCGUGAGGGAAGACGGCCUUCGGGUUGUAAACCUCUGUCCAUGGGGAAGAUAGUGACGGUACCCGUGGAGGAAGCCCCGGCUAACUACGUGCCAGCAGCCGCGGUAAUACGUAGGGGGCGAGCGUUGUCCGGAAUUAUUGGGCGUAAAGGGUGCGUAGGCGGCAUUUUAAGUCAUUUGUGAAAUUCUACGGCUUAACCGUAGACUUGCAGGUGAAACUGGGAUGCUUGAGUGCAGGAGAGGAGAACGGAAUUCCUGGUGUAGCGGUGAAAUGCGUAGAUAUCAGGAGGAACACCAGUGGCGAAGGCGGUUCUCUGGACUGUAACUGACGCUGAGGCACGAAAGCUGGGGUAGCGAACAGG
Molecule: ribosomal RNA, 404 nt
Filed under: uncultured bacterium
Lineage: Bacteria
Description: bacterial SSU rRNA
Rfam family: Bacterial small subunit ribosomal RNA
Source: RNAcentral